Anthonomus grandis grandis is the source of this 505-nucleotide long non-coding RNA. RefSeq lists it as uncharacterized. The record is from RefSeq and is a predicted model, not a curated record. The transcript is spliced from 2 exons. NCBI's taxonomy places the organism in Eukaryota, Metazoa, Arthropoda, Insecta, Coleoptera, Curculionidae.
CUAAAUCAUAUGACACUGCUUAAAAGAACUGUCAUACAAAAAUGUCACUCGUAUAUUUUAAAUACUUGUAUUGACGAUAAUUGCACACGAUGAUAUUUCAAAAUUCACAAUGUAAAAAAAGCUGAUACUUAAAAUGUGGAAUAUGACAAGAGAGGAAAAAAUCGUCACGUGCCCAAACUGCCUCACCCCAGCUAGGACGAAGGUCGUGUACGUAUCGAAAAAAGUAACCUACCCUAACUGUUUGAUUUCGAUUUUGCAAUUUUGCCUGUUUCCCGUUUGUAUGAAGAAAAUUUGCAAAGCUAAACACGUCUGUAGGGCCUGCGGCGCUCUUUUGGCCAUCGUAUCCUACUGAGAUAUGGAAAUGGACUUGAGCCAUUUUAAUACAACGAAGAAGAAUGGAAGCUAAAAAGCACAUAUAUUUUCUAAGUAGGUUGAAAUGUUUAUCUAAGCUGGACUGAAGUUUAUUUAUGUAAGAGAAAAUAUCAAGGAAAUAUUUAAUAAUAAA